Molecule: small RNA, 464 nt
Filed under: Histoplasma capsulatum
Lineage: Eukaryota; Fungi; Ascomycota; Eurotiomycetes; Onygenales; Ajellomycetaceae
Also listed under: 1 other name
Description: hypothetical RNA
Source: RNAcentral
CGCAGUUGCUCAAUCUGCAAUUGUUGUGAAGUGACAAACAAUCCACGGCAAAAAAUCCACCCGGCGGGCGUGUUUUCUUUGCAGACCUGCCUCUGAGGCUGUCUUCUUAAACUUUCGCCCUGCUGUCAUUGCUCUUGUCAAAAAGAAUACAUGUUGCAUAUAUUUUGAGCAAUAUCUAGCUGGACACAGGCCAUAAGUUGUACCAGCUGUUGGGAGUUCAAAUCAUAACCAAGUCAAAAUCUAAAACUGUGGGAAAGGGGCAUUGCGACCUCAGGUAUGCGUCGCAGUACUGACGCAGCCAAAUCGACAUGUGGAGUCGAACAGCCAGGACGAUGGUAAAAAUUGGAUUAUCCGCGCCCUCUGCUCGCCGCGUUACUCGUCACACUGACUCCGUGUAUUACUUGCUAAUAGGCCCCGCCGUCUCAGCAAUAAUAACCCGCUCAAUGAUAAUGUAUCCUGCCCCC